CGUCUCCUCUCCAGCGUGCUCUCUCUGGGCGGCUUCUCCACUCUGCCCUAGGAGCCGCGUGAUCUUGGUUCUGGCGGGUGACUGCAGCAAAUUUCCAAUGUCUGAUCAAGAACGAUGGCCCCCGUCUCUGUGACUUCCUGGAGAGCCACUUCCUAGAUGAGGUGAAACCCAUCAAGAAGUUGGAUGACCACCUGGCCAACCUCCGCAGGCUGGCCUGCCCCGAGGCCAGGCUGGGCGACUAUCUAUUCAAGAGGCUCAUCCUCAAGCACGACUCGAAACUUGCAGAGCCAAGCAGAUUUCAAAGGACGUCCCCUGAAUUCCCCUAGCAUUGGGAUUUCUGCCUGAGCCUCACCCUCUAGCCACUAGGCAGCUUUUAAACCAGCCUGAAGCCCUUUCCCAAACCU
Long non-coding RNA from Cynocephalus volans (Philippine flying lemur), 404 nucleotides. RefSeq lists it as uncharacterized. Lineage: Eukaryota; Metazoa; Chordata; Mammalia; Dermoptera; Cynocephalidae. The transcript has 3 exons. The record is from RefSeq and is a predicted model, not a curated record.